CCUACGGGAGGCAGCAGUCGAGAAUCAUUCACAAUGGGGGAAACCCUGAUGGUGCGACGCCGCGUGGGGGAAUGAAGGUCUUCGGAUUGUAAACACCUGUCAUGUGGGAGCAAAUUAAAAAGAUAGUACCACAAGAGGAAGAGACGGCUAACUCUGUGCCAGCAGCCGCGGUAAUACAGAGGUCUCAAGCGUUGUUCGGAAUCACUGGGCGUAAAGCGUGCGGAGGCUGUUUCGUAAGUCGUGUGUGAAAGGCGCGGGCUCAACCCGCGGACGGCACAUGAUACUGCGGGAAUAGAGUAAGGGAGGGGGAACCGGAAUUCUCGGUGUAGCAGUGAAAUGCGUAGAUAUCGAGAGGAACACUCGUGGCGAAGGCGGGUUCCUGGACAUUAACUGACGCUGAGGCACGAAGGCCAGGGGAGCGAAAGGGAUUAGAUACCCCAGUAGUC
This 446-nucleotide ribosomal RNA is filed under the name uncultured bacterium. Its description in RNAcentral is "partial 16S ribosomal RNA". It matches the Rfam family "Bacterial small subunit ribosomal RNA", at positions 338 to 795 of the family's 1533-position model. The record is from RNAcentral.